GUCCAUUCAGCUGCUCUAAAAUGUGAGCUCCAAAUCAGGGGCCAUGUCUGCUUGGUUACCCAUUUCCUGGGACCUAGAACGGGCCUAGCUCAGAGCAGGUGCUCACUAUUGAUGGAAUGCAUGUUGAAAGAAUGCGUGAAUCUCAUCUCCUUUUGUGGGUGAAAAUCUCAUCCUAUUCUCACUCCUGAUUAACUUUCUUUCUUUUUUUUUUUUUUCAAAAUGGAGCCCUGAUCUGUCACCCAGGCUGCAGUGCAAUGGUGCAAUCUUGGCUCGCUGCAACCUCUGCCUUCUGGAUUAAAGCAAUUCUCCUGCCUCAGCCUCCUGGGUAGCUGGGAUUACAGGGGAGUCCUUGAGCAGAAGGAAGCAAGUUGCCUGAGAUUCUUCAAAGCCCGCAGCCCUUUUGGAUGUAGAAGUUGCUGGUCCCAUCUUGCUCACAAUCCUCCAAAGUUUGAAAGUUAUUUUCCAGGAGACUUGGCUUGCACUGAGAGCUGCCCUCCCACCCUCUCUCCAAAUUUCCUCUUGGGGGUAGCCUAACAAGGUGCUGUCACAGACCCUUGUCAGCCACUAUGACCCCACCCAGACCAUCCCUCUGCUGUUUCACUCUUUGAUAGUCUCUGGAGCUCUCUGGGGAGGGGU
This 636-nucleotide long non-coding RNA is filed under the name Pan troglodytes (chimpanzee). RNAcentral describes it as "lincRNA". Lineage: Eukaryota; Metazoa; Chordata; Mammalia; Primates; Hominidae. The record is from RNAcentral.